Molecule: ribosomal RNA, 330 nt
Filed under: uncultured bacterium
Lineage: Bacteria
Description: bacterial SSU rRNA
Rfam family: Bacterial small subunit ribosomal RNA
Source: RNAcentral
UGUGUAGGCGGUUGGAUAAGUGUGGUGUGAAAUCUCCCGGCUUAACUGGGAGGGUGCGCUACAAACUGUCUGACUAGAGUGUGGGAUGGGAAAGUGGAAUUCCUGGUGUAGCGGUGAAAUGCGUAGAUAUCAGGAGGAACACCGGUGGUGUAGACGGCUUUCUGGACCAUAACUGACGCUGAGACACGAAAGCGUGGGUAGCAAACAGGAUUAGAUACCCUGGUAGUCCACGCCCUAAACGAUGCAUAUUUGGUAUGAGUCAUUCAUUUGAUUCGUGCCGGAGCUAACGCGUUAAAUAUGCCGCCUGGGGAGUACAGUCGCAAGGCUGAA